AUACCCCACCUUCCAAGGAAACUAAUGUCAGAUCCCUCUCCUUUAGCGCCACCGCCAAAAACCGAGCUCACAUCGUGGCUUCUGGCGGUGGCAGGGGCCCGCCAGCCCUGCCUGCGGCACCUGGGCAGGCGUCGCACCUCCCGCCUCUGGGCGGGACGGAAGGAAAGCGCGCUCCUCCUACGUCAUCGCCGCGCGCCGCUGCCUUCGCCUUCUUCCACUUCGCGGGAGAAGUUGUUGGCGCGAAUGGAUCCCGAGCCCCGAUAA
Molecule: non-coding RNA, 264 nt
Organism: Callithrix jacchus (white-tufted-ear marmoset)
Lineage: Eukaryota; Metazoa; Chordata; Mammalia; Primates; Cebidae
Source: RefSeq, a predicted model, not a curated record